Molecule: non-coding RNA, 1062 nt
Organism: Peromyscus maniculatus bairdii (prairie deer mouse)
Lineage: Eukaryota; Metazoa; Chordata; Mammalia; Rodentia; Cricetidae
Source: RefSeq, a predicted model, not a curated record
CCGAGGGGACCUUGGACCGACCCAGACACCUCGCCACCCGAGGAUCGGCUCCAGAGCCCGGAGCUCUCGCGAUAGCACGGCCUCCCCACCACGCCUCUGGUUAGUGUUCUGACAGUUUCGCGAGAUUUCCGUCCGCGCCUGCGCAAAGCCUCUUUAGGACUAUUGGAGAGUGGUAAUUUUCCCUGUCCCAAAUCUGGGUCCUUUUCAUGCCUCUCGCACCAAAUGCUCACACAAGCAACAGAACCCUAACUAAGACAGGGCUGAUGGAGAGCUCUGAGAUUAGACAAGAUGGUGGCUGCAGAACAAUCUGAUGUUUUUAUCUCCACUGAGUGACCACUUACAAAUGUGAUCUCCUGUAUGGAAGCAGUAUGGAGUUCCCGAGAACAGUGAAACUUGAAGUACCUUAUCGUCCAGCAAUCCCACUCUGUGACCGUCUGCUCCCCCAGCUUUAUUGUAGCACUGUUCCCAGCUGCCAGGUGAUGAAGAGCCCCUGUCCGGAGUUGAUGAGUACAUAAGGAAAUCUGCAGCCAGCAGCUUUGGGGCUGGGAUGCAGCUCAGUUUGCAGAGUGUUUGUCUAGUGUGUGUGAUGCCCUCAGUUUGACCUCCAGCACUGCAUAUAAACCAGACAUGGUAUAAGGCUAAGAGGUAUCUCUGCCAGUAUAGUGCUUGACUAUAGCCAUAAGGACCCAACAUGAAAAGACUAUUCACAGUGAGACAGGCUUGUACAUCCCUGCUUCUCUAUGUAACCCCUCACCCAUUCUCAUGUCACUAGCCCACUAAACUCUAGCCUGGUUGUCUGUAGUGAAAUUGUUAAUUUGGUUUGCCCUUGACUCCCUAUGUGGGGUGAAUAGUUGUAUGUUCAUAUCUCCCCAGGAAUAGUGUCACACAGCAUCUCCACAUGCAUGCAUAUGUCUCCUCCCAAGACACACACCAUAGGCAUGAUGGUACACAUUUGUGAUCCCAGCACUGAAGAGGUGAAGGCAGGAAGAUAAAUCAUUUCAGCAAGGUAAACCUAUUAAAGCUUCUCAUGGUUCCCCAUUGGCAUGUAUCAUUUUAUGAUUU